GAGAACUGUACAGUCAUUGAGGAGAAAUCUUUUCUAUUCACAAACAAAUGAGAUCCAGCUGAAAUUAACUGGGAGAAGCAAGAGCUUCAGGAAUGGACCCUGAGGUGAUGCAUAAUGGAGAACAGGGCUGUGUGCUGCUUUAUUUUAAAGCAGCAUGUGGAAAAACAAGCAGAAAAAAGCAGUGUCAUGAAGUCUGCUGCACUUCUGAUGACUGCCUGCUAAUAAAUGAUAAUCCUGAACAGCAGUUCUUGUACUUCAGCUUCUUUUUAAAGAAUGGAUUUUGUUACAAUCAAACGUU
This 298-nucleotide long non-coding RNA is filed under the name Junco hyemalis (dark-eyed junco). RNAcentral's name for it is "lncRNA (ENSJHYG00000007433.1)". The record is from RNAcentral. Lineage: Eukaryota; Metazoa; Chordata; Aves; Passeriformes; Passerellidae.